Canis lupus familiaris (dog) is the source of this 3132-nucleotide long non-coding RNA. RefSeq lists it as uncharacterized. Lineage: Eukaryota; Metazoa; Chordata; Mammalia; Carnivora; Canidae. The record is from RefSeq and is a predicted model, not a curated record. The transcript is spliced from 4 exons.
UUGUUUUUCCUUCCCUUCACAGAUGUUCAUCUGCUUUGCUUCUUUAAUUCCACCUAUGAAUGACACCUCACGGUCAUUCUCUUUUCCGAAUGACCUAUUUCACUUAAGAUGAUCCCUCUACUUCUAUCCACGUCAUUGCAAAUGGCAAGAUUUCCUGCUCUUUGAUAGGACACACGGUGAAGCUUCAGGAAGAUGUGGGCCCACAUCCACCCUGACAGGAGCCCUUGGGCCGCUUCAGGACCUGCGGUGAGGCUUCAGGGAGUUGUGGGCCCGCAUCCACGCUCACAGGAGCCCCUGGGCCGCCUCAGAACAUGUGGGGAAGCUUCUGAAAGAUGGUGCACCGCGUCCACUCUGGCAGGAGCUAACUGGCCCCUCAGGACAUAAGUUGAGUCUUCUGGAAGCUGGGGGCCGCAUCCACAGUGACAGGAGCCUCGGCCACCUCAGAACCUGCGGUGAUGCUUUGGGAGGACGUGGGGCCAUGUCCACACAACCAGACGCUGAUGUCCUCAGGACCCCCGGUGUAGACUUCGGGAAAUAUGGGGAUGCGUCCAUGCGGACAGAAGACCCCAGCCUUGUCAGAACCUGUGGUGAAGCCUAAGAAAAAUGUGGAUGCCGAAUCCACACUGACAGAAUUCUCCGGCCUCCUCAGGACACACUGUGAAUGAUUCGGAUGAUUUGGGGCCACGUCCAUUCUGACAAGAGCCCCUGGCCUCCUCAGGUCUUAUGGUGAGGCUGAGGAAAAUGUGGGGCCACGUCAAGACUGAGAGGACCCGCGUCCUCCUCAGGACCUGCACUUUGUCUUCGGGACACAUGAGGCUGCGUCUAGGCUGACAGGAACCCACAGCCUCCUCAGUACCGCGGUGAGUUUUCAGGGGACAUGGGGCCAUGUCCAGGCUGACAGGAACCCCUGGCCUCCUGAGAACCUGCUGUGAGGCUUCCAGAGGAUGUGAGGCAUCCAGAAGGAUGUUCCUCCUCCUUCCAGAGGAGGCAUACUCCACGUUGAGAGGAGACCCGGAGUACUCAGGACCCACUGACUAUGACUCUGGAACACGUGGGGCCACGUCCGCAUUCACAGGAGCCCGGCUUCCUCAGGACCCCCUGGAGGACUCUGGAGGCGCCGUUGGGGGCCACGUCCAUGUCAGAAGGGACUCCUCAGAACCAUAGGCAUUUCGUUGUAUGCGGGAGAAUCGCGGAGUGAGAACCAAGUGUCUGCCUUGUCAAUUUCACGCCUAGCGGACAGCUGCCUCCAAGGCAUGCACACUCCUUUGGUUGAGCUUAUGGCUUGUAAAGCCCACAUGCUGACCGCCUGUACGCUUCACUUACAAAGAACUUCGUUCGAUACGGGAAGCAAGUUUUGCGAGAGGCAAAUGUGUCUUAGUUCAAUCCAGCAACUUCUGAGGAAUUCCUCCCUCAGAUGGGAGCUACAUACUAACUUCCAAAACUGAGUACCUAGCUGAAAGCUCUCUCUCUGGGGAACUUCCUUCUCGGAGAUGAGCUGAAACGUGGUCCUUCCCAGUUCCACACUGCCUGCAGAUACAGUUACAAACAUCCUCACUAGACAUGUUUGUCAGAAGCUCAUGGGAUGCAAAGGGCAAGCUUCAGACUUCAAGGUUGUGUCUCCAGGUGCAGUAAAGCGGUAUUCAUGGAACAUCCUGAAUUACAAUGCUGCCAUGUUCUCAUGGCCAUCAGAAUGCAGUUAAGAGAAAGCUGGCUUCAAGUCAUGCUCCUUUUGAAAGCUGAGCUCAGGGAAGGACCAUCCCACAUCCUGCCUGCCUGUAGUCGUAGCUGCUAACAUCCUUAUUUUAGGUGUUGGGAGAGGUUGGAGAAAUGCAAGUGGAAGUUUCAGGGCAGUACUUAUGUGAAUCUGAGUUCAAUACAGCGAUUGCCAACGUCCUUGUUUAAUUAGAGUGUAGCUUGUGUAUACCUCCCCUUGAUGUCUAGCAAACAUCGGCCUGCAAAGCAUACACACUUCUGAGACUUGAAUUUAUGCCUUGUACCUCGCACAUGCUGACUGCAGAUACACUUCGCUCCUGUCAGGCUUAGGCUCGAUGCGUGACAGAAGUUUGUCAGAGGUUAGUGGAAGGUGCCGGCCCACACAACUAGUGUCUCCAUGCCCAAUCCAGAGAUAUGUGAGGAACUGCUCUCUUAGAUUGGUGCUACAUACUAAGUUCCAUACAUGAGAAGCUAGUUGAACAUGGUGUCCAAAGGGUACUUGCCUCUGAGACUUGAGCUCACAUCCAGUCCCUCACAGUUCCACUCAGCCUUCAGAUGGAAUUUCGAACAUCCUCACUAGACAUGUUUGUCAGAAGCUCAUAGGACACAAGGAGCUAGCUGCUGGCUUCAAUGCUUGUCUCUCCAGGUGCAGUAGCGCGGUAUACAUGGACCGUCCUGACUUACAGUGGUGCUACGUUCUGAAGGCCAUAACAACGCAGCUAGUAGAAAGCUGGCUUUGAGGCAUGCUUCCUUUUGAGAGCUGUCUCAGGGCAGGACCCUCCCGCAUCCUGCCUGACUGUAGACGUAGCUGCUAACAUCCUUGUGUUAGGUGCUAGGAGAGGUUGUGAGAAAAGCAUGUGGAAGCGUCGGGCUUGAACUCACGUGUAUCUGAGUUGAAUACAGCGAUAUCCAACGGACUUCUUCAAUCAGAGUGUAGUUAUGUUCUAACUCCCAUGUACGAGCGGUUAGCAGAAAUCUGCCUCCCAGGCAUACACACUACUGAGAGUUGAGCUUAUGAUCUGUACCUCAACAUCCUGCCUUCAGGUACACUUCGCUUCUAAAAGGCCUAGACUCGAUGCGUGACGGAAGUGUGGUGAGAGCAUUCCGUUCUAUGCGGGACAGUAGCGGAGUGAGAACCAAGAGUCUGCAUUGUCAAUUUCGCGACUACCGGACACCUGCCUCCAAGUGAUGCACACUCCUUUGGAUGAGCUUAUGGCUUGUUCCUCCCACAUGCUGACCGCCUGUACCUUUCACUUCAAAAGGACGUCGUUCCAUAUGGGACACAAGUUUUGUGAGAGGCAAGUGUCUCCCAGCCCAAUCCAACGACUUCUGAGUAAUUCCUCCCUCAGAAGGGAGCUACAUACUAACUUCCAAACCUGAGUACCUAGUUGAAAGCUGUCUCUCUGGGGAACUUCCUUC